Molecule: long non-coding RNA, 580 nt
Organism: Papaver somniferum (opium poppy)
Lineage: Eukaryota; Viridiplantae; Streptophyta; Magnoliopsida; Ranunculales; Papaveraceae
Exons: 3
Source: RefSeq, a predicted model, not a curated record
UGUUGUAGACGUGUUCAUUUUUCUGGCCGCUCAUUCUGUUUCUUCUCUUCUUUCUAUCUCACCACAUCGAAGAAAUUGAAUCAAAAAAUUGAUCCAAAAAAACUGAAUCAAAUUCAUCAAGCUAUCACUUGUUAAAACUGAUCAUUAGAAGUUUGAGAAGACCAAAAUUAACCGAGAAACAUCAAAAACGAAGCAAAUAAUUCGGGUUCAUAAAAUCAAACUAUGGUGAUAUUAAAGAAGUUGAAAAAAAUUGAUUUUAAACAAGGCAUGUACUGCUAUAGCAAUUUAAUGAAGAGGAGGGUCGGAGAUAAUGGACAUAGAUUAAGAAGAAUAGAUGAGGACACCAACAAGACCAAGUAAUUUCCCAGAACGGUUAUAUUCAGAAAAUGCAUUUCGUGACCGACUUGGUCUGGAACAUGUUAAAUGAUUGACAUGUUAUUACUAUUUUCUAGCAUGAGUGGGUGAAUUUAUGAUUCAAAUGUUGAUAUUUGAAAGGUUUGUUAUAGCCCAUGGGGAUACCUUACGGUACAAAUAGAACCAUGUAAAAUAAAUUAUCUUUUUUAGUGUCAAUAGCAAAGAU